Non-coding RNA from Rhopilema esculentum, 1112 nucleotides. Lineage: Eukaryota; Metazoa; Cnidaria; Scyphozoa; Rhizostomeae; Rhizostomatidae. The record is from RefSeq and is a predicted model, not a curated record.
CAUUUGGGUUGCGAAAAGUUGAGAUUAUGGCGAAGAGUUUAAGAUCAAAGAGAAAAAGAAAGUUUAGAGCAUUGAAAAGGAUAAAGCACCAACCAAAGAUCGAUGCAAAAAUGAAAGAAAUAGCGCUUGAAGUUGAUGCUGCAGAUAAAACAGUCAAUGAAAACGAUGUCAAUCAAGAAAAUAUGAAUGCUACUGAAGAAUCGAAAUUGGACAGCAAAAGGUCUACUGUAGAAGAGACAGAAGAAGAUGAAGAUAAUGACAUUGAUAUGGAUAACAAGGGAAGUGAUAAUCCAAAGAAAUCAAGUAAAAGUUCAUCAAUACCCUUCCAUCUAUUAUCACAGAGAAAACUGAGAAAACUGCAAAUGAAACAUAAGCAAAAGAAAGGCAACCCAAAGAAAAAGAAUUUUUUAAAGUGGUGAUAGACUUUAAUUGUUAUUUUAAUUUUAUUAGGUAAUACAUAGCCCAAUAUGGAGUUAUACUCUGAAAAUAUCUUUAAUGGGACAAAAUUUUAUCUAAAGUAGAAAUAUUCCCCACACCUUUAAGCAAGAAUUUUUUUUAAUAUUUGAGUUUGCUAAUGAAUAGCUCCAAUAAGUUAUAUUCAAAGGUCUUUCUGAUCCUUCUUGCUGUGGUUUGAAAUGUGAAAUUUUCAUGUUUUCAAAAGAUAACUGUGAAUGUCAAUAAUGUGUACAGCCUUAGUUGUUUACCACCUGAAGAAACUCUGCUUAUAAUAUUUUUUACUAUUACAUAUUAUCAGCUGUUUAUUUCAAUAUCAUAUCUAAAGCUGCCAAAGUUGUUGUCGAGUCGUUUUGCCACAAAAAUGAAAUUGUAUAUGUUUUUUGUUUGGCCAGGCUCAUGUUGGAUUUCUUUUUGAAAUACUGACAUUUCAUGUUCUUUCUUUGGUACCUAUCAUGUAAAUCGUUCUUUCGAAUGGCAUUGAUAAUGCUCCAGAGCCCUAGCAAGAUAAUGAAUCUACUAGUAUGAUGCAUGCCUGGUGAGCUAUAAGCAGAAAGUUUUUUCACUCAUGCUAUGUAUUAUUGCAUUGUAACUAUGUGACAAUUCAUCGCAUCAUGUUAAAUUUUUUGUGUAUAUAAUAAACACAUUUUGUUCUUCUA